Molecule: ribosomal RNA, 355 nt
Filed under: uncultured bacterium
Lineage: Bacteria
Description: partial 16S ribosomal RNA
Rfam family: Bacterial small subunit ribosomal RNA
Source: RNAcentral
CCUACGGGAGGCAGCAGUGAGGAAUAUUGGUCAAUGGACGAGAGUCUGAACCAGCCAAGUAGCGUGAAGGAUGACUGCCCUAUGGGUGGUAAAUUUCUUUUAUAUGGGAAUAAAAUGUUCCACGUGUGGGAUUUUGUAUGUACGAUAUGAAUAAUGAUAGGCUAAAUCCGUGCCAUCAGCGGCGGUAAUACGGAGGAUCCGAGCGUUAUCCGGAUUUAUUGGGCUUAAUGGGAGCGUAGGUGGAUUGUUAAGUCAGUUGUGAAAGUUUGCGGCUCAACCGUAAAAUUGCAGUUGAAACUGGAGGUCUUGAGUACAGUGGGGGUGGGCGGAAUUCGUGGUGUGGCGGUGAAAUGCU